GCGGUCCGCCACGGUUUAAAUCCUAUCCCUCUCAAGCCCUCUGAAGUCACAUUAAAUGGGAUAGGAUUCAGGAACUAAUUAAUUUAAACCUCACUGACCAGAAAAUGUAAUGUCUCUGUUUCAUAGCAGAGUUAUUGCUAAUCACACCAUUUAACAUGACGUUGAGCAACUAGAAUUUAAAAAAACAAAUGU
This is a long non-coding RNA of Alosa sapidissima (American shad), 192 nucleotides long. RefSeq lists it as uncharacterized. The record is from RefSeq and is a predicted model, not a curated record. NCBI's taxonomy places the organism in Eukaryota, Metazoa, Chordata, Actinopteri, Clupeiformes, Clupeidae. The transcript has 3 exons.